This 424-nucleotide long non-coding RNA is filed under the name Monodelphis domestica (gray short-tailed opossum). RNAcentral describes it as "lncRNA (ENSMODG00000044596.1)". The record is from RNAcentral. Lineage: Eukaryota; Metazoa; Chordata; Mammalia; Didelphimorphia; Didelphidae.
AUCUUUCAGUGAUAAGAAAUGUGAUUCUUACUCUCAAUGCUAGUAAUCAUUUUUUUAACUUAAUAUUGGGACAAAUUUGAUAAGUAUGCCCUAGAUGUGGGAUGAUGAGCCAAAGCAACAAGCUCAACAGAAAAGGAUCCUUGAGAAAAGAACCUUACAGACUUCCUUCCCUAAUGCUAUUGAUGGAAAGAUGGAAACUGAAAGAUCUCAGAAUGCAGUUUUGGAGAAGAUAAUUGCUGUUAAUGCAGCCACCAUAUUUCUAGACAUUUGUGAGGUCAUUGUGGAUACCAAGACAGAGUUUGAAGCCAACUGGAUACAUUCUGGAGAAUCUUUCCAUGGACUCUAUUUAUGGGCUACCCAUUCAACCUAUUUAUAUUGCUCAGAAAGUAGAACUAUCCUACAGAUGGAUAUGAAGAGCUACUAG